Molecule: long non-coding RNA, 643 nt
Filed under: Dicentrarchus labrax (European seabass)
Lineage: Eukaryota; Metazoa; Chordata; Actinopteri; Moronidae
Description: lncRNA (ENSDLAG00005031905.1)
Source: RNAcentral
GGGUUUUGAUGGUAUAGUUAAGUAUCAGCCCCCAAAGUGCUGCUAGUGCAUCAUCCCAUACACUCCCCCCACUGGCUAGCCGUUGUAAGGGCAACAAAAAAUUCUCAAACCCAAGAUGGCCGACAGAAGAGCAGCUCAGGACUUUUUUGCCAGUCCUUCUAUAGUAGGAGACCCUUGCAGAAAAACAUAUUGGCGUGUGAUGAAUGAGAGGAGGAAGCAUGCGGCAGUGAUGGAGUGUGCUGCAGAUGGAAGCAUGUACGUCCACAGCGAGCAGAGGAAAAACUGUCAGUCCAAACCCUUUCAUGAGAGCACAGCGUUCACUUUGUUUCCACCAAGACCACGGUCCUAUGGGCUUUCCUCCAGAGGCUCUGAACCCCAGGGCCUGCAAGUGCAGGGAUUCUGCUGUGCCCUCCAGCAGAGGCCCAGCAGUGGGCGGGCAACACACAGGGUGACUCCACAGAGCACAGGGGGUGGAGAUGGGAGCCUGAUAAUGCUGAGCAGUCUCAAGGGAAGGCUGGAGAGCAGAGCCAAACCAGCAUCAAAGUCCAGGACUGGGAGCAGGCCUGAGAUGACCCCAUCAGGCGGAGCAGCUCCCACUGUGUGCCAUCACAGAGAUCCAGUCAGUGAAACAGCAGGUGAAUGA